Anguilla anguilla (European eel) is the source of this 5129-nucleotide long non-coding RNA. RefSeq lists it as uncharacterized. Lineage: Eukaryota; Metazoa; Chordata; Actinopteri; Anguilliformes; Anguillidae. The record is from RefSeq and is a predicted model, not a curated record. The transcript has 2 exons.
CCCCCCCCCCCCACCUCCAAAUAGUUUACAGCAUGUCACAAUGGGGAUUGGGGGAUUUGGAGUGGUGGGGGUGGUAAAAUGACAUGGAAUAGGAGAGUGUGAUUGGCUGCAAUUAUGCCGUAUAUAUGCACUAGAGAAUAAGCCACAGCAUUAACUCCCAUCUGUGGAGCUCCAGGGACAGGGGUAUUGAUUUGGAUCGGAGCAGUUUGCCAUCUCAGUUUUCUUUCCUGUCACUCUUUUUUUUUUUCUUCUUCUUAAAAAAAAAAAUCCAUAUUGCCACUUUUUGAGAAAUGCUAUGCCUGGCGGGAGAUCUAACCCCUGACUGCCUGCUGCCCGACCUGUGCGUCUGUAGCUGGACCAUUUUGCUUCGGAGUGAAUGUUCUGGAUUGACGGGAGGACUUAAUCACUUUUUUUUUUUUUUUUAACUGAAUGCCACAAGUCUGCCUGCCAAGGACUACAAACCUCUCGCCCCCCCCACCCCCCGCUUAAUAACAGUGCACUCCUUGGGCAAUAAUAUGGGAAAUUAUAAAUAUGAUAUGUAAUAAUAAAUGGACGUGACAUAAAUUGAUUGUAAUUUCAUAUGCCGCACUUUGUUCAGCGAUCACAAGGAACGGCACUUUCAGAGCAGAGUUAUUCCUGAGCCACGCCCCCUUCCCUGCCUCCAGUGACAUCACCACCUCUAAAAACAGCUCUGGGCAGUUCCUGCUUCCCCUCAUAGAAGGAAGUAGGAAGUAGGAAGUUUAAGUUUUUUUUUUCUCCCCAUAACUUAUCUGGGGCUUUCUGGUCACACGCAGACGCCCUUGAAAAUGUAGAUCUUUGCUUUGGGCUUUGCCCCGUGAGACAUGGGUUUCCGACCUUGCUCCUGACCUCCUGUGUAUGCUUAUUUUUUUUAGCCGAGCGGCCAGCAGUAUCCCCCGCUUAAGACUUAUUUUAAACACGCUGCAUGUUUUCGGCCCCGCUGUUUGCUUUUGUCUUUGAGCUCCUCAUUUUCCUCGAAUGGAUUUGUUUCGGGGAGUCAUCAAUCACCGAGGGGCCCCACUGAUUUCGCCCGUCAGCCUAUAAUUGAGUCGGUUAUACAAUGCAACCUCUCUCUGAGCGAAUCGCGGGUAAUAUGGCACAGAAAUCGUUAGCAUCGGAGAGCUGGCCGCAGCGACUGUCCUUGGAUGCGAGCGUAGGAAUUUUCUUUGAGGUUUUCCUAGCUGUUGCUGACAUAAUUUGGCCGUGGAAGAGUGAAACUUCCCUCGACAGCCAUUAAAAACAAACUCGGUUUAAUAAACUCGGGUUGUAAUAAUGGUUUGCGGAAAAAAAAAUAAAACUCCCAUCAUGCCCAGGGGGGACUGUUGGACCGAGUUUGGGAAGUCCUAAAAAUACCCCUCUUCCUGUGGACGUCUCCUGAAAGUGCUGUCAAGUGCAGUCAAGGAUGUGCACUAAAAGGUGCUUCAGAGCUGCCCUUCGGACGCAUGACUUCUUUACCAAUGUGAGCGCAGAGAGCAGCGAGCUGCCAGGACCUGGGCCCAGAGCAAGCAGCAGCAGCGUUUUAUAGAGAUUAGCAGUGGUGAGCUGCCAGGACCUGGGCACAGAGGAAAGGACAUCACCGUGUAGAGAUUAACCUGAGAACAAUAAUCUUAUUAUGUUGGCUAUAGUCAAGUGGUCUUUAUAUGACAUUAUUAGAGAUGGACCUUUAAGCAUUGGUCUGUUGCUAUACGCACGCACACAGACACACACACACACACAUAUUUAUUGUGUAAAAUUUUGUUGGUGUGAACCCAGUGGGGGAGGGGCUUAUUGCAAAUUGCUAGUUUAGCACAGCUCAGUUUAGCAUGGUGCAGUUUAGCAUAGCUCAGUUUAGCACAGCUCAGUUUAGCAUAGCACAGUUUAGCAUUGCUCAGUUUAGCACAGCUCAGUUCAGCAUGGUGGAGUUUAGCACAGCUCAGUUUAGCAUGGUGGAGUUUAGCAUAGCACAGUUUAGCAUAGCUCUAGCACAGCUCAGUUUAGCAUGGUGGAGUUUAGCACAGCUCAGUUUAGCAUGGUGGAGUUUAGCACAGCUCAGUUUAGCAUGGUGGAGUUUAGCACAGCUCAGUUUAGCAUGGUGGAGUUUAGCAUAGCUCAGUUUAGCACCGUGGUAGUUCAGUACAGCACUCGCCUGUCCACAGGGCUUGCUCAGUGAGGGAUUUGCUUUGCUCAGCGGUGGUUUCGACUCUCUUGUCCCGAGUGACUUGUACAGAUUACAUUUCCGCGCACAAUCAGUUUACGCUGCAGGACAUUUCCUGAAGUAGUUCAAGGUUUUGCGACCUUGUUGAAGGGUACAGCAGCCGCAAGUGGGAAUCAAUCUCAGGUUUGACUCGCCGGACCAGCUACCCAAACGCCGUACAGCACUGCUGGCCCACAGCCGCUAGUCACCAGAGAGGGGGAUUUUACAGUUAGGCCUUGGACGGUUUCGGAGGCCUUGCUCCACGUCAGUAGAAAUGCUGAGGCAGCUGUUUUUUGUCCUCAUUGAUAUUUUCUCAUCCCCCCCCCCCCCGUUAGAAAUGUGGGUGUGAGGAGCUGAUAGCCCGGCUGGUUCUCAUGAUGCGGCUGGUUUCUGUUUCAGUGAUGAAUGCAGAAUGCGUGCGAUCCUCCAAGACAGGUGAUUGAUGGAGGAGGUCGCAGCGAUGAAAGAGUUUGGGAACCCGAAAAAGAAAAACGGAAAAGCGGAAAGAAAAACAGUAGAAAAAAGGAAGUUUAUCUGACAGUUGUUUCCAAAAAAAAAAAAAAAUAGGUGCUCUUAUUUGAAUGUUUUUUUUUUUUUUUUUGUUAUCUUGCUUUCAAACUUUGAUCUAGUGAUAUGGCGCAGACACCGCAUACUGAAAUGCUAGCGUAAAGGUCUGUCUCUAAUGCAGUAAUUUCAUAUAAAUAUCCUCAUGUGCUAGGUUAGGCUUUGGAUAACUAUUCCCCAUUCUUCUGGAGCCACUUCGCAUGUAAGGGACCCGCCCAAUCUACGCCAAAUAGUUUUUUUUUUUUCCACAUUCCAGUCUCUCUGUUACCCAGACAGUCCUCUUGCUGGUGGCCACUGUAGAUCAGUUUGGGUAUGGAGCCCUGCAGUGCCCUCUGGAUUUAGGGUUGACAGUUAGUGCGGGCUUCGUGAUUUGUAUGGAUUUAUUCAUGGAGAAGCCUUGUCUCUCCCUCAGACUUUUGACUGCCGUUCCGAUAAUGCAUUGGUGUAGAUUUGUCAUUCGAGCGGCUUGUAUGGGCGGUGGAAUUUGACGGGGCGGAAGAGUCUGUGUUCUGGAUCGCUCUCACAGGCCACAGGCUUUUCCAGCGAGAGAAUGUCUGAAGGAGGUCACAGUGGUUGUUGAGGAGCACCUCUCGUGUUCAGAAAGUGGGAGCAGGAGCACUUCUGGUUUUUGGAAAGGGGGGCUCACCGCCCUCCUGGUUUUUUUUGUGGACGCUGGUGACAAGCAUGUGUCCGUCUGAACGUCAGGUGGCUCCUCCCUCAUGCAGAAAACCGCCAUCUGAACCAUGACGAGGUGCAGGAGCAUAUGCUAACAGUAGUGCUAAGCAUCGCCUGUGGUCUGGCUUCUGAACCGUAACGAGGCGCAGGAGCGUAUGCUAACGGUAGUGCUAAGCAGCGCCUGUGGUCUGGCUUCUGAACCGUGACGAGGCGCAGGAGCGUAUGCUAACGAUAGGGCAAAGUACCUGUGGUCUGGCACCUGAACCGUGACGAGGCGCAGGAGCGUAUGCUAACGAUAGGGCAGAGUACCUGUGGUCUGGCACCUGAACCGUGACGAGGUGCAGGAGCGUAUGCUAACGAUAGGGCAAAGUACCUGUGGUCUGGCACCUGAACCGUGACGAGGUGCAGGAGCGUAUGCUAACGAUAGGGCUAAGCAGCGCCUGUGGUCUGGCACCUGAACCGUGACGAGGCGCAGGAGCGUAUGCUAACGAUGGCGCUAAGCAGUGCCUGUGGUCUGGCACCUGAACCGUGACGAGGCGCAGAAGCGUAUGCUAACGAUAGGGCAAAGUACCUGUGGUCUGGCGCUCUCUGUUUGGCCAGAAGCCUGCGGUCUGCUGCGGGCAAACUGACAGCCUUUCGCAGGGCAUGCUGGGAGCGUCCACGCGUGAACCAAUCAGACGGCCGUCAUUAAGGAUCGCUUCCCAAGAACCUAAAUUGAAUUAAAAUUUAUGUACAUGUCCACAUACUUCAUUUAUUUUCACAGCAUGAUUUUGGCCCAACAUAUCCUCGCAGGCUAAGCCUCAUUCCUUUUCCACACACUUUUAGGAUCUAAUAUCUUCCCGCCAAUCACUAGCUCUGUGAAGAUCGUCUAAGGUGGAGGCUGCACUGUAAAAAAAAAAAAAUAAUAAUAAUAAUACAGAAUACUCGAAAUUUCAAGGCAACUUCACAAAUUUUUUUUUUUUUUAGCUUUGAGCUUUGUGGGCAAGUUAUGCCCAGUAGCAUUCAUUAGUUCAGAAAACUCAAUUUUAAGUUUUUCUACCAAUGAAAUGUAAGUUUUCUGACUUUAAAAAAUCUAAGUAAAGCUCAAAACUUAUUUUUGUGAUGUGGCCUUGCAAUUUUCAGUAUUUUUAACUUUUUUAUGGGGUGGUGAUUAAAAAAUAAUAUGAGACACAAGGGCCAUGCCUGGUAUUUAUAUCCCCGCUACAGCAAGUGCUGGUCACAGACAGUAAAGCAAAAGGUCCGAGUUGUGUGUGGUGAACAUUUCCCAGAAUCCUCUCCUCCAUACUCCUAAGCCUCAAACUCCCAGAAUUCCCCCACUCUCCUCUCUGUAAACAGCCAAUGUAGAUACAGACAAAUAGUUUGUUAAUAUGUAUAAUUUAGCAUUGAUUGCACUCCUUUUUUUCUUUUUUGUAAAUAAUGGGAAAGUAUUGUAAAAAUUUUCAUUUUUAUCUGGAAAGUUCUUGCUUAGACAGACAUUUAUGAACCUGGAGAAAUGCACUUUUGGUUCUAAAAUGUGGAUAAGGAACAUUUUUUUAUUGUAAAAUAACUAAUUUAAAAGUAAUCCAACACACUAGGAAUGGACAGAACAAUGUAAAAUGAGAAUAUUUUAACAGACCGUGUAACUAUAAAUACAUAACAGUAUGUACGUAUGUAUGUACUGUAGAGUUUUUGGUCUACAAUAAAAGUGUAAAAAUCCAAA